Molecule: ribosomal RNA, 500 nt
Filed under: uncultured Glomeromycotina
Lineage: Eukaryota; Fungi; Glomeromycota
Description: partial small subunit ribosomal RNA
Rfam family: Eukaryotic small subunit ribosomal RNA
Source: RNAcentral
CCAAUAGCGUAUAUUAAAGUUGUUGCAGUUAAAAAGCUCGUAGUUGAAUUUCGGGGUUAGUAGGCUGGUCAUGCCUCCGGUAUGUACUGGUCUCACUGAUUCCUCCUUCCUGAUGAACCGUAAUGCCAUUAAUUUGGUGUUGCGGGGAAUUUGGACUGUUACUUUGAAAAAAUUAGAGUGUUUAAAGCAGGCUAACGCCUGAAUACAUUAGCAUGGAAUAAUGAAAUAGGACGUUCGAUCCUAUUUUGUUGGUUUCUAGGAUUGACGUAAUGAUUAAUAGGGAUAGUUGGGGGCAUUAGUAUUCAAUUGUCAGAGGUGAAAUUCUUGGAUUUAUUGAAGACUAACUACUGCGAAAGCAUUUGCCAAGGAUGUUUUCAUUAAUCAAGAACGAAAGUUAGGGGAUCGAAGACGAUCAGAUACCGUCGUAGUCUUAACCAUAAACUAUGCCGACUAGGGAUCGGAUGAUGUUAAUUUUUUAAUGACUCAUUCGGCGCCUUACG